This 496-nucleotide ribosomal RNA is filed under the name uncultured bacterium. RNAcentral's name for it is "partial 16S ribosomal RNA". It matches the Rfam family "Bacterial small subunit ribosomal RNA", at positions 28 to 506 of the family's 1533-position model. The record is from RNAcentral.
GAUGAACGCUGGCGGCGUGCCUAAUACAUGCAAGUCGAGCGAACGGACGAGAAGCUUGCUUCUCUGAUGUUAGCGGCGGACGGGUGAGUAACACGUGGAUAACCUACCUAUAAGACUGGGAUAACUUCGGGAAACCGGAGCUAAUACCGGAUAAUAUUUUGAACCGCAUGGUUCAGAAGUGAAAGACGGUCUUGCUGUCACUUAUAGAUGGAUCCGCGCUGCAUUAGCUAGUUGGUAAGGUAACGGCUUACCAAGGCAACGAUGCAUAGCCGACCUGAGAGGGGGAUCGGCCCCACUGGACCUGAGACACGGUCCAGACUCCUACGGGAGGCAGCAGUAGGGAAUCUUCCGCAAUGGGCGAAAGCCUGACGGAGAAACGCCGCGUGAGUGAUGAAGGUCUUCGGAUCGUAAAACUCUGUUAUUAGGGAAGAACAUAUGUGUAAGUAACUGUGCACACCUGGACGGGACCUAAUAAGAAAGCAACGGCUAACUCCGU